AUCCAAAGUUUCUUUUUCUUUUUCUUUUUCUUUUUCUUUUUCUUUUUCCUUUUGCAAGCAGAGUCGCCUACCAGCUGUGUUCCACCAUAAACAAAAUAGGAGGACAAGUCAGCGGACAUUA
RNAcentral lists this non-coding RNA (121 nucleotides) under Palpitomonas bilix. The record is from RNAcentral.